UUUCAUGUUUUCUAUGUAUCGAUUUAUUGCACAGAAACAACAUGCAGCAACUUGGCUUUGGUUUUAAUGUGUCUGCUCUUUCUAUUUUGGACAUUCUGAUUCGGUUACUUUGCAGGUUCUUGCUUACACUGGGAAUGAAGACGCUAAGAAGUUUUUCUUCAGUGGUGAAAUAUCACUGGACAACAUUAAGCUAAUUUCUGAAAACAUUCUUGCAAAUUCAGUACCAGAUUAGAAGUAAAAUGGUCGAAUCAUCUUGAUAGCUACGCACUUAAUUGGUACCAGGAGAGGUUUGGGGAGUAGGGGGUGUCUAGAUGAAGACUCAUAUCUGACCAUUAUGGUUGGAUGAUAAAUGCAUAAUAAAUGUCGUACACCAUAGGCUGUUGUGAAGGCUACAUCGGAUCGUGUCUUGCUUCCCCAUAGUGUUCUAGAAGGGUGAUGAGGUGAAGGAAAGAUCUAGGACGAUAGGUAUUAGGUUGGGAAGGAGGGACGAGGCUUGUGUAGGUGACAGUAGUGACAAUAAUGUAAUGAGACUGUCUAUAAUUUGUAGCUUCAUAUUUUCUUGAACAGAAGACAUGUGCAGAGCCUUGAUAUAUUGUUUCAUGUUGACGAUUAUUAAUAAACAUGGAAGUACUGGCUUCUACUCGAGUUAGAUGUGGAUCAACAUGUGAAACUGGAGGUUGGCUUGUGAGGAUUGACCACUGAUGUCAUUAUGUGGUGCAAAAGGGUCAGAACUGAUAGAAGCUAGGGCCAUAAAGAACUAUGGAUAUGGGGCAAUUCUAUGAAAUUUGAUGGUCCUUAAGGGCUUGGGAAAAUGAAAAAUCAUGCAACAUGUUAUUGUGGCAGGUUGAUGUAUGUCGCAGUUUUCCAACUACUUUGCAUAACAUCCAUGCACUAGUUCUUUCUGGCAAGUUGCUGGAGAUGAUGGCAAUGUUGGUUGAGUACUUGGAUGUCUCCAAGAACUUAAUAAGUCGAAAAGUGAACCAGUUCCUCCCACAGGAAUCAUUCCACUUGGGAUAGGAAAUGACCUCGCUAGAUCAUUUGGAUGGCUGUAAAGCGAUAUCUCAAGAAGGCCGUUUCUGCUUCGGCCGUCCAUCUUGAUAGGUACUCAACCUAUUGAUGCACAUGGACGUGAUGACUCUCUAGCGUUUAUGGAUCAACCAACCUGUAAUCAUGGACCUUAUUGUCUUGUAGACCAUGUGGUGUUUCGAGUGUUUUGGAGCUUGCACUUUGUGCAUGUAGAUACAAACUUAUGUUUUAUGGACCAUCUGAAGUCUCUCAUAGUAACCAAUAGUCCUUAUCUUUUUGUGACUUGUGUGUUCUAGAUGAUUGUUAAGAUGGUCAAAACUAUGCUUCCUCUAGGUUAA
Molecule: long non-coding RNA, 1364 nt
Organism: Hordeum vulgare subsp. vulgare (domesticated barley)
Lineage: Eukaryota; Viridiplantae; Streptophyta; Magnoliopsida; Poales; Poaceae
Exons: 4
Source: RefSeq, a predicted model, not a curated record